UUCCAGACUCCUACGGGAGGCAGCAGUGGGGGAUAUUGCACAAUGGGGGGAACCCUGAUGCAGCGACGCCGCGUGGGCGAUGGAGUGCUUCGGCAUGUAAAGCCCUAUCAGCAGGGAAGAAAAUGACGGUACCUGACUAAGAAGCCCCGGCUAAAUACGUGCCAGCAGCCGCGGUAAUACGUAUGGGGCAAGCGUUAUCCGGAUUUACUGGGUGUAAAGGGAGCGUAGGCGGCCUGGCAAGCCCGAUGUGAAAUACCGGGGCUUAACCCCGGAACUGCUUUGGAAACUGUGCAGCUAGAGUGCAGGAGAGGUAAGUGGAAUUCCUAGUGUAGCGGUGAAAUGCGUAGAUAUUAGGAGGAACACCAGUGGCGAAGGCGGCUUACUGGACUGUAACUGACGUUGAGGCUCGAAAGCGUGGGGAGCAAACAGGAUUAGAUACCCCGGUA
This 446-nucleotide ribosomal RNA is filed under the name uncultured bacterium. RNAcentral's name for it is "bacterial SSU rRNA". It matches the Rfam family "Bacterial small subunit ribosomal RNA", at positions 329 to 792 of the family's 1533-position model. The record is from RNAcentral.